Molecule: ribosomal RNA, 188 nt
Filed under: uncultured Desulfobulbus sp.
Lineage: Bacteria; Pseudomonadati; Thermodesulfobacteriota; Desulfobulbia; Desulfobulbales; Desulfobulbaceae
Description: partial 16S ribosomal RNA
Source: RNAcentral
GGAGUCUGGCCCGUAUUCCAGUGCCAGUGUGGCGGAUCAUCCUCUCAGACCCGCUAACCAUCGUCGCCUAGGUAGGCCAUUACCCCACCUACUAGCUAAUGGUACGCAGACCCCUCUUCAUACAGUAGCUUGAAUCAGAGGCCACCUUUCCUCGCCUCACCUAUUGAAAUGCGAGUAUAUCCGGUAUU